Arabidopsis lyrata subsp. lyrata is the source of this 517-nucleotide long non-coding RNA. RefSeq lists it as uncharacterized. NCBI's taxonomy places the organism in Eukaryota, Viridiplantae, Streptophyta, Magnoliopsida, Brassicales, Brassicaceae. The record is from RefSeq and is a predicted model, not a curated record. The transcript is spliced from 2 exons.
CAAAAAAAAAUUCUCUCAUUUUUUUUUUCCCCGAUCUGGCGAUUUGUCCGACGAAAUCGGAAGCAAACGGAGGACGAGGAUAGAGCUCGGACUCCUCGAUCCGGUGUGACCUUCAUCUCCACCGACGCUGGUCACAACUGGCGAGUUUGAAGAAGCAAAUCGGCGGUUUUAGGAUUCUGUGUUCUAAGUUAAAUUGGGGUUAAUGGAAGGAGAUUGUUGUUGCCGCCGUUCGUGGAUUCAACGGUAAACUCAAAUUUUUCAGGAAUUAAUUCACUCUAAAAUAUGUUUUAGUGGAUGAAGAGUAAAAGACCAAAUGUUGGUUAAACAUUUCACUUGUAACUUGUAACACAAACAACUUUUAACAUUUUUUGAAAAUUUAAAUUUUUUAGAUCUUCACUUUUUGGACUUGACCAUUGGACUGUCUCAAGAUAAAUAACACUCAAAGUGGCUAAAUUUUUUAUUUUCCAUUAUUUAAAUUAUAAAUCUUGUUUGGAUCCCAAUUUUUGGAUCCAACCAU